This 305-nucleotide ribosomal RNA is filed under the name Blastocystis sp. RNAcentral describes it as "SSU rRNA". It matches the Rfam family "Eukaryotic small subunit ribosomal RNA", at positions 27 to 348 of the family's 1831-position model. Lineage: Eukaryota; Bigyra; Opalinata; Blastocystidae. The record is from RNAcentral.
CUACGCUCGUCUCAAAGAUUAAGCCAUGCAUGUGUAAGUGUAAAUAUAAAAGUUUGGAACUGCGAAUGGCUCAUUAUAUCAGUUAUAGUUUAUUUGGUGAAGUGUACUACUUGGAUAACCGUAGUAAUUCUAGGGCUAAUACAUGAGAAAGUCCUCUGGUGAGGUGUGUUUAUUAGAAUGAAAACCAUAUGCUUCGGCAUGAUAGUGAGUAAUAGUAACCUAUCGUAUCGCAUGCUUAAUGUAGCGAUGAGUCUUUCAAGUUUCUGCCCUAUCAGCUUUCGAUGGUAGUAUAUGGGCCUACCAUG